This 23-nucleotide microRNA is filed under the name Xenoturbella bocki. RNAcentral describes it as "Xbo-Mir-252-P1i_5p (mature (guide))". Lineage: Eukaryota; Metazoa; Xenacoelomorpha; Xenoturbellidae. The record is from RNAcentral.
CUAAGUAGUAGUGCCGUAGGUAA